Molecule: ribosomal RNA, 1582 nt
Filed under: metagenome
Description: bacterial LSU rRNA
Rfam family: Bacterial large subunit ribosomal RNA
Source: RNAcentral
CAACUAGCGGUAGGGGAGUGUAGUAAAAGAGAAAAAAUUAAAGAAGUUAAACCGUGAGGAUUAAUGGAGCUUUUACUAGUAAGAAUGCCGGCGUGAGUAACGAUAGAAGGUGAGAAUCCUUCUGGCCGUAUGACCAAGGUUUCCAGGGUGAAGGUCGUCUACCCUGGGUUAGUCAGGACCUAAGGCGAGGCCGAAAGGCGUAGUCGAUGGAUAAUAGGUUAAUAUUCCUAUACUAAUCGUUAUCACUAAAGAAAUGACGGAGUCAGUUAAGCAAAACUAGUUAUUGAAUUCUAGUUUCUGUGAUACUUUGCUUCCAAGAAAAGUUUCUGAAGUUUUAGGACAAUGAUAGCGAUACCUGUACCAAGAACGAACACACGUGGUCGGGGAGAGUAUCCUCAGGCCAGCGAGAAAACUACAGUUAAGGAACUCGGCAACAGCACGAGCGACUGUUUAUCAAAAACACAGCUCUCUGCUAACUCGUAAGAGGAUGUAUAGGGGGUGCCGCCUGCCCAGUGCUCCAAGGUUAAGAGGAGGGGUCAACUAGCAAGCAAUUGCUGGUGAAGCUCUGAAUUGAAGCCCGAGUGAACGGCGGCCGUAACUAUAACGGUCCAAAGGUAGCGAAAUUCCUUGUCAGGUAAGUUCUGACCCGCAUGAAAGGCGUAACGACUCGUGCACUGUCUCGACUGUAGACUCGGUGAAAUCUUAGUACCGGUGAAGAUGCCGGUUACCCGCAACUAGACGGAAAGACCCCGUGGAGCUUUACUGCAACUUGAUAUUGGGUUUUUCUCUGCUCUGUACAGGAUAGGUGGGAGACUGUGAAGCCAAGGCGCCAGCUUUGGUGGAGUCGUCCUUGGGAUACCACUCUGAGUAGCGGAAAAUUCUAACUUGUUGGUUUACAGCCAAAAGGACAGUGUCUGGUGGGUAGUUUGACUGGGGCGGUCGCCUCCUAAAAAGUAACGGAGGUGUUCAUAAGGUAUCCUCAAUAGGUAUAGAAAUCCUAUGAUGAGCGCAAAGGCAGAAGGAUGCUUAACUGUGAGACUUACAAGUCGAACAGAUACGAAAGUAGGACUUAGUGAUCCGGCGGUUCUUAGUGGUAGGGCCGUCGCUAAACGGACAAAAGUUACCCCGGGGAUAACAGGCUAAUACUUUCCAAGAGUCCAUAUCGACGAAAGUGUUUGGCACCUCGACGUCGACUCAUCGCAUCCUGGAGGUGAAGAAGCUUCCAAGGGUUGGGCUGUUCGCCCAUUAAAGCGGUACGUGAGUUGGGUUUAGAACGUCGUGAGACAGUUUGGUCCCUAUCUGUUGUGGGCGUAGGAAAUUUGCGGAGAGCUGCUCCUAGUACGAAAGGACCGGAGUGGACUGACCAAUGAUGCACCAGUCGUCAUGUCAAUGGCACGGCUGGAUAGUUAUGUCGGGAAUAGAUAAGCACUGAAAGCAUAUAAGUGCGAAACCAACUCCAAGAUAAGAUUUCCCAUCCGUUAAGGAGUAAGAUACCUUCUAGACCAGGAGGUUGAUAGGUGGAAAAUGUAAGUACAGUAAUGUAUUAAGUUAAUCCAUACUAAUUCAUCGAGGACUUACUAAA